Long non-coding RNA from Mobula hypostoma (lesser devil ray), 696 nucleotides. RefSeq lists it as uncharacterized. NCBI's taxonomy places the organism in Eukaryota, Metazoa, Chordata, Chondrichthyes, Myliobatiformes, Myliobatidae. The record is from RefSeq and is a predicted model, not a curated record. The transcript is spliced from 4 exons.
GGGAGACCAGCGAACGGCACACAGCGCGAGGCUGAAGCCAGUUCCGGUAAAAUCCGUUGGGAAUUAAACCUGGCGCGUGGCCAUUAAAGAUCUGUUUCUGACCAGGAUAUUAAACCAAAAUUAUACGUCAAUAUGGGCAUAGGUUGGAAAUAGAAUUACAUAAUCUGUUAUCUGUUGUUCAUACCCGAACGGUAUUCUUUCUGCUGUCCUAUAUAUAAAGAGGAAAGAAGGGAGAAGGUCGAUAUCGGACCACUGGAAAAUGCUGUUGUAGUUGCAGUAACAGGUGAAAAAGAAAUGCCAGACAAACUCUGUGGAAGUCACUAGCGGAAUUACAAAAGGUAAAGAAAAUCAGCGAACAGAAUUGCAUGUAGUGCUAUUAAUAAGGAAAAGGAGCUUGGAAGAUGAAAGAUCUGAAGAUAGAAAAGUCACCUGGACUGGGUCAUACAGUGUAUCAGGAGCCUGCCUGGGGUGUGUGGGCAUUCCCAGAGCAUUAGGACCUGGAGUGAAGGCUUCAGCAGAACCAACAGAUGGAUUAAUGGAAAAAUAAAAUGUAGAAUAUUCAGGCUGCAAAGAGAGAUUCUUUGAAUUGUUACAUGCAUCCAGAGAUCAGCAAAUGUCUGAUGGUGAAUUUUGAUUCCUAGGUUUCGCCAAGUCACAGACUAACAUUUGACAUGUGGUUUGAACUGUGCAUUUCAU